This 454-nucleotide ribosomal RNA is filed under the name uncultured bacterium. RNAcentral describes it as "partial 16S ribosomal RNA". It matches the Rfam family "Bacterial small subunit ribosomal RNA", at positions 341 to 792 of the family's 1533-position model. The record is from RNAcentral.
ACGGAAGGCAGCAGUGAGGAAUAUUGGUCAAUGGGCGCAAGCCUGAACCAGCCAUGCCGCGUGCAGGAAUAAGGCCCUAUGGGUCGUAAACUGCUUUUGCUGGGGAGCAAUAAGGUCUACGUGUAGGCUGAUGAGAGUACCCGGCGAAUAAGCAUCGGCUAACUCCGUGCCAGCAGCCGCGGUAAUACGGAGGAUGCAAGCGUUAUCCGGAUUUAUUGGGUUUAAAGGGUGCGUAGGCUGUUGUUCAAGUCAGAGGUGAAAGCCCGGGGCUCAACUCCGGAACUGCCUUUGAUACUGGGCAGCUUGAAUCCUGUUGCCGUGGGAGGAAUGAGUGGUGUAGCGGUGAAAUGCAUAGAUAUCACUCAGAACACCGGUUGCGAAGGCAUCUCACGAAGCAGGCAUUGACGCUGAGGCACGAAAGCGCGGGGAUCGAACAGGAUUAGAUACCCUGGUA